RNAcentral lists this ribosomal RNA (253 nucleotides) under uncultured bacterium. Its description in RNAcentral is "partial 16S ribosomal RNA". It matches the Rfam family "Bacterial small subunit ribosomal RNA", at positions 524 to 776 of the family's 1533-position model. The record is from RNAcentral.
UACGAAGGGGGCUAGCGUUGCUCGGAAUGACUGGGCGUAAAGGGCGCGUAGGCGGAUGGCACAGUCAGAUGUGAAAUUCCCGGGCUUAACCUGGGGGCUGCAUUUGAUACGUGUUGUCUUGAGUUCGGAAGAGGGUCGUGGAAUUCCCAGUGUAGAGGUGAAAUUCGUAGAUAUUGGGAAGAACACCGGUGGCGAAGGCGGCGUCCUGGUCCGACACUGACGCUGAGGCGCGAAAGCGUGGGUAGCAAACAGG